Molecule: ribosomal RNA, 811 nt
Filed under: Pezicula carpinea
Lineage: Eukaryota; Fungi; Ascomycota; Leotiomycetes; Helotiales; Dermateaceae
Description: eukaryotic LSU rRNA
Rfam family: Eukaryotic large subunit ribosomal RNA
Source: RNAcentral
GCGAGUGAAGCGGUAACAGCUCAAAUUUGAAAUCUGGGUCUUUUAGGCUCCGAGUUGUAAUUUGUAGAAGAUGCUUCGGGUGCGGCGCCGGUCUAAGUCCCUUGGAACAGGGCGUCAUAGAGGGUGAGAAUCCCGUAUGUGAUCGGUUGCCUGUGCCCGUGUGAAGCUCUUUCGACGAGUCGAGUUGUUUGGGAAUGCAGCUCUAAAUGGGUGGUAAAUUUCAUCUAAAGCUAAAUAUUGGCCAGAGACCGAUAGCGCACAAGUAGAGUGAUCGAAAGAUGAAAAGCACUUUGGAAAGAGAGUUAAACAGUACGUGAAAUUGUUGAAAGGGAAGCGCUUGCAACCAGACUUGCGCGUUGUCGAUCAUCCGAGGUUCUCCCCGGUGCACUCGACCUCGCUCAGGCCAGCAUCGGUUUCGGUGGUUGGAUAAAGGCCUUGGGAAUGUAGCUUCUUUCGGGGAGUGUUAUAGCCCUCGGUGCAAUGCAGCCUACCGGGACCGAGGACCGCGCUUCGGCUAGGAUGCUGGCGUAAUGGUUGUAAGCGACCCGUCUUGAAACACGGACCAAGGAGUCUAACAUCUAUGCGAGUGUUUGGGUGUCAAACCCAUACGCGUAAUGAAAGUGAACGGAGGUGAGAACCCUUAAGGGUGCAUCAUCGACCGAUCCUGAUGUCUUCGGAUGGAUUUGAGUAAGAGCAUAGCUGUUGGGACCCGAAAGAUGGUGAACUAUGCCUGAAUAGGGUGAAGCCAGAGGAAACUCUGGUGGAGGCUCGCAGCGGUUCUGACGUGCAAAUCGAUCGUCAAAUUUGGGUA